Molecule: ribosomal RNA, 507 nt
Filed under: Triticum aestivum (bread wheat)
Lineage: Eukaryota; Viridiplantae; Streptophyta; Magnoliopsida; Poales; Poaceae
Description: partial small subunit ribosomal RNA
Source: RNAcentral
GGAACGCCUCGCUUGCCCACGACCUCGGGUCGCCCCUCUCUGUCUCCCUCAAUGGCGAUCCACAGAUCUCUGCCCCUCUCUCUCUUCCCUCUUCCCUCUGACCUCAUACCCUGCCGGAGUUUCCUCGCCGGUGGAGGAGAUCGCCGGCCGCCGGAACGCAGAAGACGCGGGCGCCGCGUCCUCGUUCCUUGCGCCGGCCGUGUCGAGCCGGCGGAGGCCGGGGAGGCCACGCUGCUGCAGCCCUUGGUGGCAGUCCGGAAAGCGUCGUGCCGCCUCGCUUGACGGAGCAGCCGCUCCCAGCAUCGGCUGUUGGCCGCGCUUGAGCAUGCUUAUCGAUCUUGUAGCAUGCUGGGAUCUUGUGUUGUGUUGGGUGGCUAUUGUUGAUCUUGUAGCAUGAGUCCGACAUUAUCUUCUCUGGUUCUCCGCGAUUUGUUUUUGAUGAAGCGUGCUCAGUUCUUCAGUUCGUGAAUUGUUGAUGCUCACACGCCUUUGUUGCAUGGAUGGAUG